This 65-nucleotide transfer RNA is filed under the name Dipodomys ordii (Ord's kangaroo rat). It matches the Rfam family "tRNA". Rfam says of the family: Transfer RNA (tRNA) molecules are approximately 80 nucleotides in length. Their secondary structure includes four short double-helical elements and three loops (D, anti-codon, and T loops). The record is from Rfam by way of RNAcentral. Lineage: Eukaryota; Metazoa; Chordata; Mammalia; Rodentia; Heteromyidae.
GGUGGCUCAGGGGUAGAGUGCUUGCCUAGCAUGCAUGAAGCCCUGGGUUCGAUUCCUCAGCACCA